This 471-nucleotide ribosomal RNA is filed under the name Rhabdophis leonardi (Leonard's keelback). Its description in RNAcentral is "partial 16S ribosomal RNA". It matches the Rfam family "Bacterial large subunit ribosomal RNA", at positions 1861 to 2604 of the family's 2925-position model. Lineage: Eukaryota; Metazoa; Chordata; Lepidosauria; Squamata; Natricidae. The record is from RNAcentral.
GCCCAGUGAACAAUUAAACGGCCGCGGUACCCUAACCGUGCAAAGGUAGCAUAAUCAUUUGUCUAUUAACUGUAGACCUGUAUGAAAGGCAAAAUGAGGGUUUAACUGUCUCUUAUGAUAAAUCUAUUAAACUGAUCUCCCAGUAAAAAAGCUGGGAUACUCCCAUAAGACCAGAAGACCCUGUGAAGCUUUAACUAAACUAUUAAACCAAAUAAUAACUACUUUAGGUUGGGGCGACCUUGGAAAAAAAAAGAACUUCCAACAUAACAAAUAAUCACCAAGGCCUACAAGCCAAUUAACGACCCAGUAACACUGAUAAUCGAACUAAGUUACUCCAGGGAUAACAGCGCCAUCUUCUUCAAGAGCCCAUAUCAAAAAGAAGGUUUACGACCUCGAUGUUGGAUCAGGACACCCCAAUGGUGCAACCGCUAUUAAAGGUUCGUUUGUUCAACGAUUAAUGUCCUACGUGAU